CCUACGGGAGGCAGCAGUGAGGAAUAUUGGUCAAUGGGCUUACGCCUGAACCAGCCAAGUCGCGUGAGGGAAGACUGCCCUAUGGGUUGUAAACCUCUUUUGUCAGGGAGCAAUUGGCGCUACGUGUAGCGUUAUCGAGAGUACCUGAAGAAAAAGCAUCGGCUAACUCCGUGCCAGCAGCCGCGGUAAUCCGGAGGAUGCGAGCGUUAUCCGGAUUUAUUGGGUUUACAGGGUGCGUAGGCGGAAUGCCAAGUCAGCGGUAAAAUCGCGGGGCUCAACCUCGCUCCGCCGUUGAAACUGGCGGGCUGGAGUGGGCGAGAAGUAGGCGGAAUGCGUGGUGUAGCGGUGAAAUGCAUAGAUAUCACGAAGAACUCCGAUUGCGAAGGCAGCAUACCGGAGCCCAACUGACGCUGAAGCACGAAAGCGUGGGGAUCGAACAGGAUUAGAUACCCUGGUAGUC
Molecule: ribosomal RNA, 460 nt
Filed under: uncultured bacterium
Lineage: Bacteria
Description: partial 16S ribosomal RNA
Rfam family: Bacterial small subunit ribosomal RNA
Source: RNAcentral